RNAcentral lists this ribosomal RNA (253 nucleotides) under uncultured bacterium. Its description in RNAcentral is "partial 16S ribosomal RNA". It matches the Rfam family "Bacterial small subunit ribosomal RNA", at positions 524 to 776 of the family's 1533-position model. The record is from RNAcentral.
UACGUAGGGUGCAAGCGUUGUCCGGAAUUAUUGGGCGUAAAGGGCUCGUAGGCGGUCCGUCACGUCGGGAGUGAAAACUUGGGGCUUAACCCCAAGCCUGCUUCCGAUACGGGCGGACUAGAGGUAGGCAGGGGAGAACGGAAUUCCUGGUGUAGCGGUGAAAUGCGCAGAUAUCAGGAGGAACACCGGUGGCGAAGGCGGUUCUCUGGGCCUUACCUGACGCUGAAGAGCGAAAGCGUGGGGAGCAAACAGG